UGUAAGAAAAAUGGUCGAACAGACCAAACUUUUAAACUUCUACACCUAAAAGUUAUCUUAAUCCAACAUCGAGGUCGCAAUCUUUUUUUUCGAUAUGAUCUCUUUAAAAAUAUUACGCUGUUAUCCCUUAAGUAACUUAAUCUUUUAAUCACAAAUUAUGGAUCAAUUCAAUUAUUAAUGAAAAAAAGUUAAUUCAAUUUUCCUAUCACCCCAAUAAAAUAAAUUAUAAAGCUUUAAAGGGUCUUCUCGUCCUUCAAUAUUAUUUUAGCUUUUUAACUAAAAAAUUAAAUUCUAUAUCAAUUUAUUAGAGACAAUUAAUAUUUCAUUCAAUCAUUCAUUCAAGCUUCUAAUUAAGAAACUAUUUAUUAUGCUACCUUUGCACAGUCAAUAUACUGCGGCCUUUUUCAAUGGGCAGAUUAGACUUUAUAUU
RNAcentral lists this ribosomal RNA (430 nucleotides) under Lentistivalius occidentayunnanus. RNAcentral describes it as "partial 16S ribosomal RNA". Lineage: Eukaryota; Metazoa; Arthropoda; Insecta; Siphonaptera; Stivaliidae. The record is from RNAcentral.